GUAGGUGAACCUGCGGAAGGAUCAUUAUCGAAUGAACAUGGAGUCGGUUGUCGUUGGCCCCCUUUACCGGGGGCAUGUGCACGUCUUCUCUAUUCAUCCACACAUAUCUGUGAACUUGUGAGACGGAUAGUAGUUCUUUUAGGGGGACGAGGUUCGUUUGUUAAUACAUAAAUUCUAAUCAUAUAAAUUUGAAUGUUAUUUGAUGUAACGUAUCUAUAAAUUAAGUUUCAACAACGGAUCUCUUGGUUCUC
RNAcentral lists this unclassified non-coding RNA (251 nucleotides) under rhizosphere metagenome. RNAcentral's name for it is "partial ribosomal RNA internal transcribed spacer region". The record is from RNAcentral.